This 440-nucleotide ribosomal RNA is filed under the name uncultured bacterium. Its description in RNAcentral is "partial 16S ribosomal RNA". It matches the Rfam family "Bacterial small subunit ribosomal RNA", at positions 338 to 795 of the family's 1533-position model. The record is from RNAcentral.
CCUACGGGAGGCAGCAGUGGGGGAUAUUGCACAAUGGGGGGAACCCUGAUGCAGCGACGCCGCGUGAGCGAAGAAGUACCUCGGUAUGUAAAGCUCUAUCAGCAGGGAAGAAAAUGACGGUACCUGACUAAGAAGCCCCGGCUAAAUACGUGCCAGCAGCCGCGGUAAUACGUAUGGGGCAAGCGUUAUCCGGAUUUACUGGGUGUAAAGGGAGCGUAGCCGGCAGUGCAAGUCUGGAGUGAAAGGCGGGGGCUCAACCCCCGGACUGCUCUGGAAACUGUACGGCUGGAGUGCAGGAGAGGUACGUGGUAUUCCUAGUGUAGCGGUGCAAUGCGUAGAUAUUAGGAGGAACCCCAGUGGCGAAGGCGGCUUACUGGACUGUAACUGCCGUUGAGGCUCGAAAGCGUGGGGAGCACACAGGAUUAGAUACCCGAGUAGUC